CUGUGUGUCACUCAGUCGCGUCGGUCUCCGGUCUCGUGCUGCGUGAGAAAGUGCGUGUUAGUGAUCUUGUGCUUCGUUUUGCAUUGUCGCUGACCUUCAAAACUGAAAUUCAAAAUUGAAUUAGACUGGUCGUUUGGUCCUCCUUGGAUGUGGCAUUAAAAAUAGGUAAGCGGAGGAGCUCAAAGUUCUCGGUCGAACCCUGGAUGGAUUAUGGAAGACUCAGACACCGUCUGAUGCUGCUGUUUGCUGCCUCACCUCAUCAAGAUCAACGAGCUUAAUUCCAUCCUACGGCGAAGUAGGCUGUGCUCGUUCUGUUGGUGGGUUUUGCGGCGGCAAACCCAACCGAGCGUCAUGGUGAUCGUCGCAUCCUGCUGGUCAGCAAAUACUUCAAUCAAGACGGCAGGGGCAACUACGAGUACGGAUACGAACAGAGCAACGGACAGAAGGUGGAUGAGGUCGGCCGCAGCUACCCAGGACCGGAGCCCGGCACCGGCUCCAUCAGCAAAGAGGGCGGAUUCGAGUUCGUCGCUCCCAACCAGCAGAAGUACCGCGUCGACUAUCGGGCCGACGAGGGUGGCUUCCAGCCGCGGGGAGCCCACCUGCCGCAGCCCCCCGCUCAGCUUCCCGAAUACGACCUGCUGAAGCAGCGGAACCCCGAGCUGUACAUUGGGUAACUCAUUGGGAGUUGAUAGCUUGACGCAAUUUAACCGGGAAUUGAAGACAAAUUCUCCCGGUCCUGAUCCAGACCAAUCUGUGAAGAUAUGUCUCUGCAACUAAUGUGAAAAGAAACGCUAAUAUAUGGGAUGAAAAAUAUGUUUGUUGCGAUGAUUGCUGUU
Amphibalanus amphitrite is the source of this 836-nucleotide RNA transcript. It is a transcript of the gene named flexible cuticle protein 12-like, with no coding region annotated. The transcript is spliced from 3 exons. The record is from RefSeq and is a predicted model, not a curated record. NCBI's taxonomy places the organism in Eukaryota, Metazoa, Arthropoda, Thecostraca, Balanomorpha, Balanidae.